UCCCUUUUAAUCUUUCAUUCUAGGGAGAAGAGGAAAAAUGCAUCAGUGGAUGUGUCCUGUCUAGUGGAAACCUUCCAAGCACUCAUCCUGGCAAAUUAAUGAAUGGACUACUGCUUUCCUUGUGGAUGGGGAACACCUACUAUGUCCAUGAUUUUUUUCUAUCCCUCUAAUUCUUGGCUGCUACCCAGAAGGUGCACAUAGGUUCCUGUAAAAGAUAUGUUCCACCCCCAAGCUCUCUGAAGUGGCCAUAUAUUGGCUUGGUGAAGGGAAGCCAGAGCAUCACUGUGAAAUUCAGAAAUCACUGUGAAAGGUAAGAUCUUCAGAGGAGAGCCCAGCCUGCAUAUGCUCUACAGAGAAGUCAUCCAAGUAGAAUGAGCAGUAGGAGUAAAUGCUAUAGUCUUGGUCCUGUGGAAAACUCUGUGAAGGGCUUUGUUGUUCCCUAUUGUUAUGUUCCCAUGAAUGUGAAGAAUUUCUUUGCCUCAGGCCUCUCUUUUGUGAAGCCUCAGGAAAAGCUGUUUCAAACGUGAAAGCACUUUUUAGCUUCCCUUGUUCUGAGGAAGUUUGUGAACCCACCGUGCCUUUAGGCAAAUGAGGGGCACUGGAUAUUACAUUUGACAAAGUCCUGGAAUUCUCUAGGUGAUAAAAGAUCCAGCCAGAUAUUGAUGAGGCAUGGCUACAUGAAAGAAGAUGAGUAGACUUUGGGCCAUGAGGGAGGGUUCUUGCUUUAAGUGUGGGUAUUUGUGUGGUUAUUGUAAGUGAUGACAGGGUAAACCUCAGGUUUCAAUCUAGUGUGAACCUCAGUGGAGACCUCAUUUGUGGGGCUUACCCAGUAGAGGGAUUACAGCGAGUUGUUUGGUAUUUUAGGUAUCUAAGUCACAAGAGGUAUCCUUAAGAACUUACAGCUAGGUCCGGUGUGGAUUUCUCCAGAGCACUAGGGAUCUCAGCCAUGAGUUCACACAUUUUUUUCUGUAGAGCCUUGUCAGCCAAAGUUGAGAGCCUGAUACACACAUGUACCUCACAUUUUAUGCCCAUUGGCCCGACUGCAUGUGACCUCUUGGCUAGUAUUUGGGAAGCUCUCCCUGUGUGUGUUCUCCAGAGGUUCCAACUAAGAGUCCUCACUACUUUUUUGCCCCGUCUCAAUCCAAACCCUGCAGGACAACUUACUUCAUUCUUGACAUAUGGCUAUACCUUUACCCAAACAGUUUUGAAAUUCCCAUGGCCAGGAACCACUAGAGCACCUUAGGAACUUCUGUUGCUCAUCAUGAUGGAAUAAAAGAAGAACUUUAUUGUGAGGAACUCAUUAAAAUUCUAGGUAACACAGACACCAGUGGUUUUGAGCUCUCUGAUAAUGGGGCCUGUGGCAGAUGAGUGAAGGUGUGUGCAAAGAAAUCUGUGCAACGGCCAUGUGGAUC
RNAcentral lists this long non-coding RNA (1412 nucleotides) under Marmota monax (woodchuck). Lineage: Eukaryota; Metazoa; Chordata; Mammalia; Rodentia; Sciuridae. The record is from RNAcentral.